GACGUAGGGCGCGAGCGUUGUCCGGAUUUAUUGGGCGUGAAGAGCUCGUAGGCGGCUUGUCGCGUCGUCCGUGAAAACUCACAGCUCAACUGUGAGCUUGCGGUCGAUACGGGCAGGCUAGAGUUCGGUAGGGGAGACUGGAAUUCCUGGUGUAGCGGUGAAAUGCGCAGAUAUCAGGAGGAACACCGGUGGCGAAGGCGGGUCUCUGGGCCGAUACUGACGCUGAGGAGCGAAAGCGUGGGGAGCGAACAGG
This 253-nucleotide ribosomal RNA is filed under the name uncultured bacterium. RNAcentral describes it as "partial 16S ribosomal RNA". It matches the Rfam family "Bacterial small subunit ribosomal RNA", at positions 524 to 776 of the family's 1533-position model. The record is from RNAcentral.